GAAGGGGGCUAGCGUUGUUCGGAAUUACUGGGCGUAAAGGGCGCGUAGGCGGCCUUGAUAGUUGGGCGUGAAAGGCCUGGGCUCAACCCGGGAACUGCGUUCAAUACUGUAAGGCUAGAGUGUGGGAGAGGUUGGUGGAAUUCCCAGUGUAGAGGUGAAAUUCGUAGAUAUUGGGAAGAACACCGGUGGCGAAGGCGGCCAACUGGACCACAACUGACGCUGAGGCGCGAAAGCGUGGGGAGCAAACAGGAUUAGAUACCCUGGUAGUCCACGCUGUAAACUAUGUGUGCUUGACGUCGGGGGGCCUAGCCCUUCGGUGUCGGAGCUAACGCGGUAAGCACACCGCCUGGGGAGUACGGUCGCAAGAUUA
RNAcentral lists this ribosomal RNA (370 nucleotides) under uncultured bacterium. RNAcentral describes it as "bacterial SSU rRNA". It matches the Rfam family "Bacterial small subunit ribosomal RNA", at positions 527 to 896 of the family's 1533-position model. The record is from RNAcentral.